Molecule: ribosomal RNA, 432 nt
Filed under: uncultured bacterium
Lineage: Bacteria
Description: bacterial SSU rRNA
Rfam family: Bacterial small subunit ribosomal RNA
Source: RNAcentral
GAUGAACGCUGGCGGCGUGCCUAACACAUGCAAGUCGAACGGACUUUUCAUGAAGCCUAGCGAUUGAAAAGUUAGUGGCGGACGGGUGAGUAACGCGUGGGUAACCUGCCUUGUACUGGGGGACAACAGUUGGAAACGACUGCUAAUACCGCAUAAGCGCACAGCUUCGCAUGAAGCAGUGUGAAAAACUCCGGUGGUACAAGAUGGACCCGCGUCUGAUUAGCUGGUUGGUGAGGUAACGGCCCACCAAGGCAACGAUCAGUAGCCGGCCUGAGAGGGUGAACGGCCACAUUGGGACUGAGACACGGCCCAAACUCCUACGGGAGGCAGCAGUGGGGAAUAUUGCACAAUGGGGGAAACCCUGAUGCAGCAACGCCGCGUGAGUGAAGAAGUAUUUCGGUAUGUAAAGCUCUAUCAGCAGGAAAGAAAAUG